Macaca mulatta (Rhesus monkey) is the source of this 9258-nucleotide non-coding RNA. The record is from RefSeq and is a predicted model, not a curated record. NCBI's taxonomy places the organism in Eukaryota, Metazoa, Chordata, Mammalia, Primates, Cercopithecidae.
CCCGCCCCACCCGGGUGCAGCCUGGCGGGUCGCCCCCUCGCGCUCCCCGGGGCAGGGCGGGCUGGGUUGAGCGCUCCAGUGAACCAGGAUUCCGGGCGGGUGCGGCGGGUAUCGUGCACCGGGCCCUUCCUGCCACCCUUUUCCCUGUUCUCCGCAAUUUCUCGCUCCGGCUAGUAAGGGAACUAUGCACCUCCCCCAACCCUGGGCUCGCUCAGUGGGGGUGAGGGUGUAGCCGGAGGGCAGGGAGGGAGGAAGCUCCCCGCUGGCAGGGCUGGGCGGCUGCGCAGCUGGUUGGGCCGCCCCCCUACUCCUGGGUGUCCACAGGGUGCCAGAAGCUGGGUGCCCAGGGGGGCUCCAGGACCACUAGAGAUUACAUUUCUUGUGAUUCCUUUUAAAAUCUAGCUGCAGUCAUGGGCGUGCCUGGUCUGUGAAUGCGUAUUUCUGGGAUAUGCCCAGUGGGAAUGGUGGGGGCUCAGGGCAUAGUUAUCACCUGGGGCAGGGGCGUGAGGCAGUACCGAGGGACACCUGCAGAGGCUGAGGAGCUGAGGGGCUGGGUCCUGCAGAGGCUGAGGAGCUGAGGGGCUGGGUCCUGCAGAGGCCAGGAGCCACAGAUGGUUUCAUCAAAGUCUAGGGAGGAGUUAAUGAGGGAGGGCGGAAAGCAGGUGCCCAGAACAGCACCCUCCCCACUCAGGGCCCCGCACCUGGCACCCUGGGCCGGUCUCAUGAUGCUAUGGGAUGUGAUCCCCUGGGUCCCUUAUUACUGCCUGGAUUUGUCAUCAGAAGUCACCCUGAGAGCCCACACCCCAGCAGGAUUUGGGAGGGGCAGCCCCACAGCACGCGUCAGGGCCUCCUCACAGGCCCUGCAGGCUUUGCACACUCCCUCCCUCGGAGCGCCUCACAGGGUGCCCCUGCCCCUGGCUCGGGAGCCACGUGAGAGCGAGAUUCUUGUCCUUUCCCUGUCCCCGCAGCGCCUGGUAGCACUGGCAUAGCACUGGUAGCACUGGCAUAGGUGACCAGGCACAAGCUUGUCCCCUGCAUGUCUGGGUUGCCCAGGAGCCCCCAGGGCACUACUGUCCCUUCUCUAGGCCCUCCCCGUCCCCUCCCCUGCUCCCUCCUCCCCAGAACCCCUGGGAGAGGUUGGGUAGAGCUGCUGCUUCGUGUGUGCAGGGCUGGGGAACCAGCCUGGCCUUUGUGGACGUUGCUGGCUGCAGCUGUUGUGCUGGGAGCAGGAAACCUGGGCAGGCUGGGGCAGGCGUUGCAGGGUGUUGAGGGAAGUGGGAGGCUGAGGAACCCCCUCCUGGGCCCACCCAGCUAGGAGAAUUCAAGGCUCCUGAGCUGAUGGCUGGCAGUGGGACUCCAUGCUUAUUCAUCCGUUCUCGCCCUGCUUUGGGCUUCUCUGUUCAACCGAAGCCUGAUACUGUUGUCAGGGAGCUGCAGCUCACAAACAUCACAGCUUAGAAAUCCUGGCAUCAAAGGAAAUGCCAGCGGUCCCUUUGCUGGAAGCCAGGAUAGUGGACUCAGAAGCCAGCAGAUAGGGUUUGAACGUUGGCCCUGCUCUACUUCACAUUUGGACGAGUGUCCUUAGCGUCUCUGUGCCUCAAUUGAGUCGUCUGUAAAACGGGAAUAGUGGCUGAAUGAAGGGCAGGGCUGUUACUGAUGGGUCUCCACGGGGAAUGAACGAGGUCGAUGUCAGGCUGAAGAGGGGCUGGAUACCCUCAGCUAAGUGUCGGGUGUGAGGUGAGGUGAGGUGUUCCAUCACUAGAGUAGGCUGGAAUAGGCCGGAUUUGUCCUCUGGAAGGCACGAUUCACCAGAUAAGUACAGGGGCUUGGGCGGGGACCUUAGUGUCCACGCCACGCAGGGAGUACAUGUGCUGGACAGUGUCAGGUCCAGGCAUUCACCACUGUCCUGGUAACACUGGGGUCUGACCACGGGCUGGGCCGUCAGGCGCCUCUGUCGAGACCCCCACAAAGAGGAAGGCCACAGCAAUGGCCACUGGAGUCCGUCCCUCUGCCAGCCAAAGUAGGAGGAUGCAGCAGAUUGUGCUCUCUCUCUGCCAAAGCUCAUUGUUUGGUUUUCAAACCCCUGACCUUUUGGCUAAGCUGCCCUUAUUUUCAAAGGUUUAUCUUUGAGUUAGCCUGGGAGCUUAAAAAAUCAUAAAAGGCAACUUAGUGCAAAUAUUGUGAUGGAGCAUUUGCUUAAAACCACGUAGGAAAAUGUCACUUGGAAGGCCUUGCUCUACACGGUGGAUGGCGGGCCCCGGGUGGGGACUCCUGGCAGCUACGCCGCUCAGCUGCUCCAAGGCGCUCGCCUGUUCUGAGUUCUCCUGUGCACUCACCAACCGGAUGGCUCUGCAGCCGGAAGCUUUUAACUCCACGUUGUUUGCCCCUUUCUCUCUGAUUUCUGCAGACAGAAGCCCUUCCUAAACAGCUGAAACUCUAAGAAAGUGCCGGUGAAGCUUGGGAAGGGCCGGGCCGGGUCCGGUCAUGCCCAUUGGUGAUGCAGCCACACCCUUGGCCACCAGAUGCCUUCACUGACACAUGAAGCCGGGCACAGCCUCGUGGGGGGCAGGGCUCCGGGGGCGAGUGUCUCCUGCAAGCUGGAGAACCUUGGAGACCUGCUGCCCUGAUCCCAACAUUCCCAAUGCUGCCUGUUGAGGAGCCGGCGGGUCCCAAGGGCAGCAAGGACCGAGGUCCACGGGCACGGCUGUGAUGCUAGGGUGCAGCACGAGUGCUGAACAGGGGCAGCCCGUGUGCUGGGGACAGUCUGGCUUUCUGUGGUUCCCUGAGUGGUGUGAGCAAGGCCAUGUCCUUAUUACCAAGCAAGGUAGUCAUCUGUGCCUGGGGUGACAAUCACAUCCAAAGAGUCACCACAUGAGAGGUCUUUGGAAGACGCUCCCAAGGGUGGGGGUCCCUGCUUGUUUCAUUGGCUAGCUUACCCUGAGUCCCUCCAACGCUGCCCGGCACGUAGUUGGCACUCAGUGGGUCUGUGUUGCACGAGUGGAGCAGAUGCGAUGGUGAACAGGAUGAGGCCAUGCCAGCAGGAUGUGCAAAACCCGUCACUGGUUCACAGCAGGCUUCAGGCUUCUGAAUGUAGGAGAGUCACCAUCUCUCCAGCCUCCGUCCUUCUCUUCCCUCAGGCCCCCAACCACUGUUGGGCGACUCUUGCUAGCAGGAAGCCCUCUUACUAAAUUGAAAAAAUUAAGUUUACAAUAACAUCUACAUCAGUUAUCUAUUGCAGCAUAACAAAAUGCCCCCACACUCAGUGGCUUAAAACAACAGGCAUUUAUUGUUUCAGUGGCAGCAGUAGUUGGUUUCCUAUGAGGAUGAAGGUGGGUGGGGGAGAAACGUGAAUGUGUUAGAGGCACAGAAGAUAAGUAAUAAACAUAAUUGGUAGAGCUUGGCUAUAGAUUUUCCCACCCACAGCACGGGAAUUGCACGUGUUCCAGGACGUACAGUGUUCCAAGGAGGAUCUUUAAAAACGGAGCGGCACCUGCACAUGUGCACGCACAGCGAGUGUUCGCAGGCCCGCAAGGAGGGCGGAGCCUCCUUCCAGGCUCACACUGGCUGCGCUCCAGGCAUCUCUGGGGCUGUUGGCAGAUUCUGGGGGUUGCGCUACAGGCCGAUCAAUCCUCAGUCAUUGGCAUCCUUGUCCCUCACAUUCCCAGGCCGCCCCUUGGACCUCGGCCAGCUCUCUGGAAACGUGAGCCGUGUUCUCAGGGAAGAACCAGAAGAGGAAGCGGGCGUGGCUGCCCACAAGUGCAGCGGCUGCUGCGUGGGAUGGGCCCCAGGAAGGCCAGGGAUACAGAGGGCAGGUCGGGGUGACAGGCUGGAGAGGAGGUGGUUUCAAAUCCCAGCUUCACCGGGCCUGGACCCCCAGUUUCCUGUGUGUGAAAUGCACGACGCGGCCUCUAGGUCGCCAGGCUGCUGUGAGCAUCCUGUGAUGUGCACACACUUCAUUCCACACAGAGGCCAGGGCCCACCCCGGUGGCUGCAGGGCAGCUGGAGAGGCUGGGUGGGAGGAGGAUGGCCCAGAGUGGGGUCACACACUCCGUCUUUGCCCGCGUGGGGACAUGCUCGGGGCGUUGCCGUGGCUGUUUUGUGCGCUUGGCUGAGGAUGGAGAGUGAUUGGCCACCAGAGUUAUGUGAGGUCCCCAUCAGCAUCAUAGACACUCAGCAUUCCUGUUUUGGGCCUCAGGUGAGCUGGGAUGGCUGUUCCACAGUGCCCGCAGGUCGCCUGAGGAAGAUGGCACCAGCAGGCUGGGAGGCUCGGGGUAGGACAAACCAUUCACUCUGGUUUUCCUGGGACUUUCAAGGUUUUAAAGCAGCCAAGUCCAGAGACCUGGGAGCUGGAGCCCUCUCAGUCUCAAGCAGUUGGGGCUGAGGGUCACCCUGGCUGUGUACUGUGGGAGUUUGUUCUUACAGCCUCCCUCCCUUCCCAUGCUCUCUCCUGCUCCGUUGACCCCCCACCCCAGGUCUCCCCCGCUGGGACCAGGUCUCACCACUCCCUCCAAAUCCCAAAUCACCCAGGGUUCCUUCACCUGCCACAGCUAAGAAGCCAAGAAUCUUCUAAUUCAAACCUGACAUGGCUCCAUGGAGAGCUGGCUGCUCUGCAACGGGCCCAGUUUUCAAUCAUGUAUUUCCUCCGGGCUCUGAUUCAGCCGGAUGGUCUGACUCACACAGUCGUCAGACGUAUAUCAACAAGUGUGUCUCUGCCGUCUGCCUGGAGGCCAGAGCCUCCUGGUGAGCCCUUGGUUCAAGGGCUCACACCUAGUGGGCAAAAGCGGUCAAGUUCCCUUAAUUUUCAUGCCCCCAAGAGCCAUCUGCCCUCCACCUGGCUCUGCGGGAAUCUGGUGCAGGCCUGGUACCCAGAGGACAGGGAGAUGUGUGUUGAGCGAAUCGUGAGCACCUGGAGGGAACAGCUAGCACUUCACCUGCUCAGCCUCUCCCCUUGCCUGGGUGCCAGCACCUGCAAGUCUUCCUGUGAAUCGCCUGCUGUCCACAUGGUCUGUGUGUGCGAGCAUGUGUGUAUGCCUGCAUGCGUGUUGGGCUACCAGGCACAGGGGCUCAGAGGGUCCCUGCUGGCAGGAGCAGGUCUUCCCACGCUCAUCUCCUGUCCUUUCUCUGAGACCCCGCAGGAGGCUCUGUCUCCUCUCCCCAGGGCUGGCAUCCACCUGGCAAAGAAGGCUGUGCCCAGCCGGGAGGGAGGAGGGCAUCCUCUGCCUGCCCUGCCAUGCUUUGUGUUCUCUCUGCUCAGAUGCACAGAGCCCCAUCUCCUGACUGCAGCUCCAGGGACCCUCUCCCCUGGCUGGAGUUCCGGGGACCCUCUCUGCUGGCUGCAGCUCCAGGGACCGUCUCCUCCUGCUUGCGGUUGGUUUCUCAGUGUGAAUGAGACUCUGCUCCACCCAACCAGGCAGAGGGCUUGGGAUCUGCAGUCCGACCCAGGGGCUUCAAGUCUUGGCUCUGCCACCUCCAGAGUGAGCGACCUUAGGUGGCCCUGAGCUUCGGCUUCCUCCUCUGGAAUAUGGGGAUGUUAACUGUGCCUCACGUUCAUGGGUGUGGAUGAGAUGGCGCUGCCCAUAUGGUGGGCAGAGUAAGGAUCCCAAGGAUGUUCAUGUCAUGCCAGACUCUCCAGAACCUGUGAAUAUGUUGGGGCACCUGCCAAAGGGGAUUAGGGGGCAGGCGGAUUAAGGCAGCUCAUCAACCACGAAAUGGGGAGGCUGUGCUGGGCUGUCCUGGGCCCAGAGGAGUCACCAAGGCCCUUAAAUGCGGAAUAGAGAGACAGGAGAACCAGAGUGACGGCAGCCUGAGAGGGUCUGGCACAUCGGAUGCACAGGGAGCCACGGCGCUGUCCUCACAGCACAGCGGGCCGGCCGUGAGCAUCCCACACUGGCCGUGUCCAGAGAGCCUGGCUGAAUGAUGAGUGAAUGAAGGAUGGCUAAAGUGGGCUGGGGAGGUGGGAAGAGGCCGCUGGGGCCCAGUCCCUGCUGUACACCAGACCUCUCCCCUCCAAGACAGCACGAGGGGCCCAGGGUCCCCCAGGCUCUCUUUGCCCACCCUGGCUGCACCCGUCCUGGCCUUCACCUCCAAGCAGAAGAUGCUCAGGACGAGAGCCCAGCUCCACACGGCUCAGAGACCACUCCCCUCCUGUCCAGCUCUGGUGUCUCAAGCUGUGCUGUGGAGAGUGAGGACAGAGGGGGCCUCUCAGGACAGGCCAACCCGGUAUGAGGACAGAGCAGGCAGAGGCCACAGUCCAGGUGGCUGCAGCUGCUCCGCACCUGGAGGUGGGUGUCCAGGAGAUGGGGCCCAGAGAGCGGCUCUGUGUGGAGCAGGGAAGGCACAGUUAGGGAGGAACCUUGCCCAUAAAGUUCCACGUCCCUCCCCAGCUUGCUGGACUGUGAACAGGAGCAAGGACUGGCGCCCUGCAUCCCGGCGCCCUGCACCCCAGCAUCCUGCACCGCAGCGUCCUGCACCCUGAUGUCCCUGCUGGGGCCUUGUGGGCUCUUGGGACUCCUGCCUGCCCAGCCCACUGAGUGCCUCCGCGCUGGCUGACCCGCGGGGCUGCUACAGCAAGCACGUUCACGGGGAGAGCACCAGAUGUCUGGGGGAACUGGCUGAGGUGGGGCAGUUUGGGAAGACUUGUCCAAGGAGAACACGUUCACCGAGUCCUGGAAUGUGGUGUGUGAGCAGGAAUGGUGGUGGGCAGGACGGGGUUGGGCCAGUGUGCAGCCCGAGGUCAGAAGACAGAGGGGUUAGGGACGCGGCUCCUGCACCUCUGUGCCUGUGACAUGGUUUUAUUCCUGGAGCUGGUGGAAGACACUGCAUAUUCAGCCUGGGCCCCAGGUCGGGGCUGGUGGCUCUGGGAUCCCGCCCGAGGCAGCAGGCAGUGGGGUGGUGGGAGGAGAGGAAGGAGGGGGGACUUGUUGCCACGGCUCUAACUUGACUCCUCGCAGACGCACAGCCUUGACUCCUGUCCACCCAGCAAUCUCACCGUGCGCCCUUCCAGGCCUGCUGAGCAGAACCGCGUGGAAGGGUGAAGCAGAGAUGGCCUGGAGUCACCUUGGAUUGUGAAACCUGUCAGCAAGUUUAAAGAAAUCAGCCAAGAGACACACAAAGAAAGCUGAUGUUUUGGAGGAAACAGGGAAUUAGGAGAGAAAGGACGGGCAGCUCUUGCAUUCUCUUGAAGGCUCAGCAGUCCGGCCCCCCGCCAGGAGGAGGUGAGGAGAUGCGCGAGGCAGGGUUGGAGUUGGAGCAGGAUGCUGAGGGUCUUGUCAUGCCCGUCCUUCCUGCCACGUGGCUGUGCCAGGCUGCCCUCUGGGGAAGGCAGGACUGGGUGCCGUGGCGCGGGCAUCUCUUCCCUCUGACUUUCAGGCUUGCUUCCUCCUCGGUCUAAGGACGGAGUUUGCACAAACAUGACUUCUGCGUCUCCAGAGAUCCAGUGUCUGACUUUACCCACAGUCGGGAGUCCUCCAUGCUUAGAAAUAUUGAAAUAGGAAAAAUGUCUUCCAUUUUGUAGUCGCUUCCUAGGAGUUUCCAAAAGCAAAACCUUGAAAUGGUUCCUCCUCUGUCGUUCUCGCCUUGGAGCUGCAAAGGCCCAUUCGAGACGCUUUCUUUAACAACGUGAGGCCAUGCCAUGGGGAAAGGAACCCCAGGGGCAAGAGGGUCUGAGGGCAGCUGCCCGGCUCACUGAGGGUGGCACACUCCCUCUAUGACCCUCAGAGAGAGCAGAGGGUUCACAGGGUGCCAGCAUGGGCCUAUGUGGGACACCAAGGGGGACAGCAUGAGGAUACCAAGCCCAGUCCACACAGCAAGUCUGGGCUCCCACGAGCCACGGACACAGCCAGGGCUGGUCCAUCGGCCGCCUCUGAAUUCCCCUCCCUUUCACCCCAAGUCUCAGCCAAGGGCUCCAUCUCCCACUUGCCCUGAAGCUAGACACGCCACAGAGUAAGUUCUGGCAGGGGGUGUGGAGAGAGGGCACCCUUGCCGCUCAGGCAGCAUCUCCCUGGCUUCCUGGCCUCCCUCUGGCUGGGAGGUGAGGGUGGUGAGAGACGGAAGCUCCUGGGGAGACAUCCCAGCAGCAAGAGAGAGGGAGCCUGUCUCCAUCCACUCGAGGUGCUGACACACAACACCAGAGGCUGGCUGGAGUUCCUAAACAACAGAAAUCCCUUCUCACGGUCUGGGAGCCGCAAGGCCAAGAUCAAGGGAAGAUUCAAGGUCUGCCGAGGGCCUGUUUCCCAGUUCACGGAGGGUGCCUUCUUGCAAGAAGCCCCACCUUCACCACCAAAUCCCCUCCCAAAGGCCCCACUUCUCACACCUUUGCCCGGGGGGUUGGGAUCCCAAGACAAGAGCUUGGAGGAGCGGGGGCUGGGAUUCCAACCCAGGAACUUGGAGGAGCCACAGGCAUGCAUCUGAUUACAAAGCCCCUCUCUGGGUCUGAACCCCAUGCCUUCCCAGGACUCCUGCCCUCCUGGGACCAUUCCUGGAGUCAAAUGGAGCCUGAAGCUUCCUGAGGACACCAUUUGAGGCCCUGGCCAGCCCCAGCUGCCCCCUGGACUUUCAGUCCCAUGGAACCUUUAUUCUCUCGAACUGUUUGACUUGGGUUUUUGCCAUAUGCCCCGAUGUCUUGGGACAGUCAUCUGUGAAUUUAGGAGACACCUCCAUCAUUUAUUCACCUCCUAGGGGAUGAGGAUACCUGGAGGGCAGGCCCUGAUACCCUGCUUUCCUGUCAGGGGAAACUGCGUCGUGGGCAGAAGACCAGGGCAUGGGCAUCCGGUCCAGGGCCCGACAGAGCAGAGCAGCUAAGCCCAGGAGAGAGGUCAGCCUCUCGGGCAGGCUCCUGAAGGACAGAGUGUGGGGUCUCCCCUCGGGGCCCCUCCCCAGCUGCACCCCUUCCCCAUUUAAAGUCACCAGGUGCCUCUCCUCAGGCUGUGGGACGAGGAAGGAGCCCUUUGCUGUACCCAGUGUUGUACCCAGUGCCUUGCCGGUUGGACCACGUGCUCCCUGAAGACGGGGCCCAGCUCUCCCUCCCCACUCAAUCACCCUCAACCCCCACACUUCUAAGUCUUCAGGACCUGCUUUUUCAACCCCCACCAGCUUAGGCUGGUCUCAGAGGACUGCUCUGGGAGAGGAAGUCCAGACCAUGGGCUGGGGUGCCUAACUGUUGCUCGUUUUCUUUUCAGAGAAUGAAUGAUGUUGAGCUUGACAUGGAUAAUUGAGUGUACAACUUUUCUAAAAGUAACAUACACAGAUGCUGGGCCCCGA